AUUGAACGCUGGCGGCAAGCCUAACAAAUGCAAGUCGAACGGAGUGGCGGACGGGGGAGGAAUGUCUGGGAAUCUGCCUGGUAGUGGGGGAUAACGUCCGGAAACGGGCGCUAAUACCGCAUAGUAUCAGAUGAGAUUAGGUCGGUUUAGCUAGUGGGUGGGGUAAAGGACUACCAAGGCGACGAUCCGUAACUGGUCUGAGAGGUUGCUCAGCCACACUGGAACUGAGACACGGUCCAGACUCCUACGGGAGGCAUCAGUGGGGAAUAUUGGACAAUGGGCGAAAGCCUGAUCCAGCCAUGCCGCGUGUGUGAAGAAGGCCUUCGGAUUGUAAAGCACUUUAAGUUGGGAGGCGUUACCAACAGAAUAAGCACCGGCUAACUUCGUGCCAGCAGCCGCGGUAAUAC
Molecule: ribosomal RNA, 407 nt
Filed under: uncultured bacterium
Lineage: Bacteria
Description: partial 16S ribosomal RNA
Rfam family: Bacterial small subunit ribosomal RNA
Source: RNAcentral